UACGGAGGGCGCGAGCGUUAAUCGGAAUUACUGGGCGUAAAGCGCGCGUAGGCUGUUGUGUAAGUUGGGGGUGAAAUCCCACGGCUCAACCGUGGAACAGCCCUUGAUACUGCGCGACUUGAAUCCGGGAGAGGGUGGCAGAAUUCCAGGUGUAGGAGUGAAAUCCGUAGAUAUCUGGAGGAACAUCAGUGGCGAAGGCGGCCACCUGGACCGGUAUUGACGCUGAGGCGCGAAAGCGUGGGGAGCAAACAGG
This 253-nucleotide ribosomal RNA is filed under the name uncultured bacterium. RNAcentral describes it as "partial 16S ribosomal RNA". It matches the Rfam family "Bacterial small subunit ribosomal RNA", at positions 524 to 776 of the family's 1533-position model. The record is from RNAcentral.